CCUACGUGCGGCAGCAGUGGGGAAUAUUGCACAAUGGGGGGAACCCUGAUGCAGCAACGCCGCGUGGGUGAAGAAGUACUUCGGUAUGUAAAGCCCUGUCAGCAGGGAAGAAAAUGACGGUACCUAACCAAUAAGCCCCGGCUAACUACGUGCCAGCAGCCGCGGUAAUACGUAGGGUGCAAGCGUUAUCCGGAUUUACUGGGUGUAAAGGGAGCGUAGACGGCAAGGCAAGUCUGGAGUGAAAGCCCGUGGCUCAACCACGGGACUGCUUUCGAAACUGUGUUGCUGGAGUGCAGUAGGGGUAAGUGGAAUUCCUAGUGUAGCGGUGAAAUGCGUAGAUAUUAGGAGGAACACCGGUGGCGAAGGCGGCUUACUGGACUGUAACUGACGUUGAGGCUCGAAGGCGUGGGGAGCAAACAGGAUUAGAUACCCCUGUAGUC
This 440-nucleotide ribosomal RNA is filed under the name uncultured bacterium. RNAcentral's name for it is "partial 16S ribosomal RNA". It matches the Rfam family "Bacterial small subunit ribosomal RNA", at positions 338 to 795 of the family's 1533-position model. The record is from RNAcentral.